RNAcentral lists this ribosomal RNA (1325 nucleotides) under metagenome. RNAcentral describes it as "bacterial LSU rRNA". It matches the Rfam family "Bacterial large subunit ribosomal RNA", at positions 1561 to 2925 of the family's 2925-position model. The record is from RNAcentral.
AGUGGAUGGGGAGCAACCUAGUUGUGCGUGUGUAAAGGUAGUGCCAAGAAAAGCGGUGAUCAUGAUGAAAAUCAAUUCCCGGUACCCGAAACCGACACAGGUGGGCAAGUAGAGAAUACUAAGGGGCGCGAGGUAACUCUCUCCAAGGAACUCGGCAAAAUGACCCCGUAACUUAGGGAGAAGGGGUGCCACCGAGAGGUGGUCGCAGUGAAGAGGCCCAGGCGACUGUUUAGCAAAAACAUAGGUCUCUGCAAACUCGAAAGAGGAGGUAUAGGGGCUGACGCCUGCCCAGUGCCGGAAGGUUAAAGAAGUUGGUCAGUCUUAGGAUGAAGCUAGCGACUGAAGCCCCGGUGAACGGCGGCCGUAACUAUAACGGUCCUAAGGUAGCGAAAUUCCUUGUCGGGUAAGUUCCGACCCGCACGAAAGGCGUAACGAUCUGGGCGCUGUCUCGGAGAGAGGCUCGGCGAAAUAGGAUUGUCUGUGAAGAUACGGACUACCUGCAUUUGGACAGAAAGACCCUAUGAAGCUUUACUAUAGCUUGGAAUUGUGUUCGGGCUUCCUGUGCGCAGGAUUGGUGGGAGGCGUAGAAGGUAUUCUUGUGGGGAUACUGGAGCCAACGGUGAGAUACCACUCUCAGGAGGCUAGAAUUCUAACUUAAUUAAGGACAGUUUCAGGUGGGUAGUUUGACUGGGGCGGUCGCCUCCAAAAAGGUAACGGAGGCGUACAAAGGUUCCCUCAGACUGGUUGGAAAUCAGUCGAAGAGUGCAAAGGCAGAAGGGAGCUUGACUGCGAGAAGUACAGUUCGAGCAGGGUGGAAACACGGUCUUAGUGAUCCGACGGUGCUGUGUGGAAGGGCCGUCGCUCAACGGAUAAAAGUUACUCUAGGAUAACAGGCUGAUCUCCCCCAAGAGUUCACAUCGGCGGGGAGGUUUGGCACCUCGAUGUCGGCUCAUCGCAACCUGGGGCGGAAGUACGUCCCAAGGGUUGGGCUGUUCGCCCAUUAAAGCGGUACGUGAGCUGGGUUCAGAACGUCGUGAGACAGUUCGGUCCAUAUCCGAUGUAGGCGUGAGAAUAUUGAGAGGAGCCUUCCUUAGUACGAGAGGACCGGGAAGGACGCACCGCUGGUGUACCUGUUAUGAUGCCAAUUGUAAACGCAGGGUAGCCAAGUGCGGAGAGGAUAACCGCUGAAAGCAUCUAAGUGGGAAGCCCACCUCAAGAUGAGUAUUCUGGUGUAAGGUCACGGGAAGACGACCCGUAAAUAGGCACGAGGUGGAAGUGCAGAGAUGUAUGAAGCCGAAGUGUACUAAUAGACCGUCGGCUUGACC